CAUUAAUGAAUGUAUAAAUGUACAGUAUUUACGUAUGCAUUUUUCUUACUAAUGUUUUUUAUUCCUGUUGGAUGAACGAGCUUUUGUAUAAGAGCAAUUCUGAGAAGAAAGGGAGAAGAAAAUGAAUGUGUUAUGUAAAACAUUGUUUUAUUUUUCUGUCUUGCUUCAGAGAAAGGAGAUGUAUCCUCUGGCAGCAUCUUGCUCUGUCCAUUUUUGCCCGUUAGCAGAAUUACCCACCUGGUGAGGAGCACAUUGGAGAAAUCCGUGGUACAUUUAGAUGGGAGGGGUGAACAAACGAGAAUCCACUAUACUGAGAGACAGUGUACACAUUUCAUAAAUUCUGUACCCAUGAUACUAAAAAAAGCACAAUUAUUAAGGCCUCAGUAGCCUCUUCCAUGACGCGUAGUACGCCUGAUAAGUAAGAAGGCAAAGUCACAGUGUGACCCAACCGAUCCACGAGAUCUUCAGUGAGUCAACGCAAUAGGCAAAUUUCAGAAGUGGAAAUAACAGAAUCCACUCUGGUUAGUUUAAGCAUGACAUGGAUUUGUUAGAGAACAUUGGGAAUCUCACAGAAUCUCUGAAGAGAAUCUAAUUUACCUGGCAUACCUUUGGUGAGAGGAAACUCAAUCACAUUUGCCGUGUUCUACUUUCUACUUAUUGAAAUUCUGUGCUCAUUUUGGGUGCAAAUCAAGUCUCACUUCCUCCCGGAAACCUCUUCUGGCUCUCUCAGUCCUGACUCAUCUCACAGAAGUCUGGUACUUAGAGAUGUAAGAGGCUUCAGAGACAUUCAAUCCAACCUUGCACGCAGUGGGACCUGGAGUAUCCCAGGAAGAAUGUCAUUCGGCUUCUGCUUACCUUCACCUAGAGAAGGACAGAGCUUUGCCUGCCAGCAGAGGAACCUCCUCAGAUGACUUCCUCUUACCCUCGUAACUUCCCCUCAGAUGGGUCAGGAGACAGGAGGCUUCCUUUGCUUCAAGGGAAUCUGUCAUGGUAGAACCAGGUGACAAAGGCUGCAUACUCUGAUUUUCAAUUUCAAAAACUAUAACCAGGAGUGAGACUGAUGGAUCAGGAAAAAAAUGUAGUCAACUCAUUUCUUUCCAUUACCUUUGUCUUUUUCUAUCACAAAUAUGUGGAAAUAUGACAAAAGUUUUAUUAGGACCUAUAACAAAAGAAAACUCCCAAUUACAACAACAAUAACAAAAAUUAUCAAAAAAUAGUCCGGGCAUGGUGGUUCAUGCCUGUAAUCACAUCACUUUGAGAGACUGAGGCAGGCGGAUCACCUGAGGUCAGGAGUUCAAGACCAGCCUAGCCUGGCCAACAUGGUGAAACCCAGUCUCUAUUAAAAAUACAAAAAAAAAAUAUAUAGCUGGGCAUAGUGGUGCAUGCCUGUAAUCCCAGCUACUUGGGAGGCUGAGGCAGGAGAAUCCCUUGAACCUGGGAGGCAGAGGUUGCAAUGAGCCGAGAUCACGCCACUGCACUCCACCCUGGGUGACAGCAUGAGACUCCGUUGGAAAAAAAAAAAGGACAAAACCACCCUAAAUUAUCAAGAAAUAAAUUUCAAAAGAAAUGUACAGGUCUAACAUACAAAAAUUAGUAUAAAAAUGAGUUUACAGAGGUUCAUAAAGGAAGACAAGAAGGCAGAAAUAAAUGUAGAGAGAGAUACGUCUUUUGGGUGACAGGAAGACUUACUACUACCAAGAGGCUAAAUCUCCCUAAAUGAACUUGUAACGUUCAGGCACUCUCAAUCAAAAUCUCAUCAGGAUUACUUGUGGAACCUGACAGUAUCAUCCCAAAGAUCAAAUGGAAGAGCAAACAUGCAGGAAUAUUGAGGAAAUUCUGAGUUGAGAAGUAUGAGAAAACUUGACGACAAAUCAAAACUAUUAUGAAGCUGUACAAAACUGGUGCGGGAAUAAAAAUCCAGAUCAAUGGAACGGAAUAGAUAUCUGAAAUAAAUUCUAAGGCAUAUGAAAGUUUUGUUUCCCCAGAUUUACUGCAAUAAUUUCCCAAUUUUAAAAACUAUAGUCUCCUAUCUCUUUUAUUAAUCCCUUUCUAGCCUUUCUCCCCAAGACAACCAGAGUCAUUGCCUAAAAACAUAAUAGGGUUAUAUAUAAACCUGUGGCUUAAAAGCUUUCAAUGGUUUUCCUUGCACUUGGAAUUAAAUCCAUAUUCCUACACUGAGUGGCCAGACCCGCUACUCCCGCUAACCUCUCUCACAGCAUGCCUCUCCACGCUCAGCAUGUCUCAGCCACGCUGGCCAGUUUCCUUCCUCCACAGAGCCAAGUUCUU
Molecule: long non-coding RNA, 2286 nt
Filed under: Macaca mulatta (Rhesus monkey)
Lineage: Eukaryota; Metazoa; Chordata; Mammalia; Primates; Cercopithecidae
Description: lncRNA (ENSMMUG00000049720.1)
Source: RNAcentral